AUGCGGUCCCUCGAAGCCGAGCUCGGCGUCGCAGCGGCGCCGGCGCCCGCUGCGGCGGAGGACGGCGAGAGCACGGCGGACGGGCCGAUGAGGGACUACGACGACGGGGAGCUGGAGGAGAUGCUGUCGGAGCUGGGCGGUAGCCUGGGGGCCGAGGCGCCGUCGUUGGCCGCCGUGCUGCCGUUGGAGUACUGGGAGGAGGUGCCGCCGGUGAUGGGCAGCGACAUGGGCGGCUGGUACGUCGACGGCGAGGGCUUCGUGGCAGGGUACGAGUUCAGGGAACCAUCCUACUACACCUAUGGUGAGGUCUCCGCCGUUGAGCAGGUGUACAGCCCCCUGUGCCUGUGGGAGUGA
RNAcentral lists this ribosomal RNA (354 nucleotides) under Triticum aestivum (bread wheat). RNAcentral describes it as "partial small subunit ribosomal RNA". The record is from RNAcentral. Lineage: Eukaryota; Viridiplantae; Streptophyta; Magnoliopsida; Poales; Poaceae.